This is a long non-coding RNA of Myxocyprinus asiaticus (Chinese sucker), 2899 nucleotides long. RefSeq lists it as uncharacterized. The record is from RefSeq and is a predicted model, not a curated record. The transcript has 4 exons. NCBI's taxonomy places the organism in Eukaryota, Metazoa, Chordata, Actinopteri, Cypriniformes, Catostomidae.
AGAUUACAGCCACAUUAUUGGACAGCCAUCUGAUCAGUGAUACAUCUAACCUGAAAUCAACCGAGCAGUGGAAGAACAGCCUAGACAUUGUUAACAGAAUUUCAAAGAUUGGGUAUAAUUACCAACUCUUCUCAACUAAAAGCGAGACUUGUCAUUGGAGGGAAAACAUGCUGAAAAUCUCGCAAUAUCCCAACAGAACUGGCUUGAACUACGAUGGAUCAACAACAAUACCCUGUGGCAGAUACCAAAAUCCAUUUGGAUCAAAGAUCAGAUCACAUCAGGGCUCAGAGAACCCCAUGCAUCAUCGAGUGGCUUCUCCUCAGAACAGAAGACACCAUACUGAUGGGAAAAUAUGUUCAACACCUUUAACUCUGCCUGUGUUGAGCAGGUGGGAGUGUGAGAUCAACGCUCCUCUUGACCCCACAUCUUAUUUGCUCCAAGGAACUGAACUUACAGUUGUUCUGGACCAAGUGGCAUUGAGAGUGCCUUGGUGAUGACAAGAAACAAAAUACAUACAUCUAUGAUGGACAUUUUGAUACAAUUUAUCACUUCUAUAAUACAUACAGUUGGUCACUUGUGUAGCAUUAUAAUAAUGAUAACCCAAUACUCCCAUUUAAUUACACAAACAAGCAUCGACCUAGUUUGCAUAGCUAAAAUCUGAGUGAAGUCUGUGUUUUCAUCUAAUAUUGGGCUUUGCACUGUAAAUCGAUCCCUACACUGCAUCAUACUGAUGCUACAGUGUCAGUACAUGUAAAUAUGGCCUUGCACUCUUAACCAUUUGAUGUGUUCAAACAUAUUUUAAAUACCUUCCAAAUAAAUAAUUUAUUGUUUGUACAAUAUAAUAUAUCACAAAGUGAUGGCUACAGGAAAGGGAAUGUAUUUGAGAGAUACAGUAGCAAGAAAAAAUGAUUUUUUGUUAUUUGCUGGUUUUCUGCAUUAAACGGUCAUAAAAUGUGAUCUCAUCUUCACCAAAGUCACAAGUAUAGACAAAACACAAUGUUCUUAAGCUAACAACACACAAACAAGUAUAAUCUUUCAUGUCUUUAUUGAACACAUCCCAUUAAACAUUCACAGUGCUGUGGAUAAAGUAAGUGAAUCCUUGGAUUUAUUAACUGGGCAGCUUUGGAAGCAAUAACCUCAACCAAGCAUUUCCGAUAGCUGCGAAUUAGAACUGCACAACAUUCAGAAGGAAUUUUGGACCAUUCUUCCUUACAGAACUGCUUCAGUUCAACCAUUUACUUAGGAUGUCUGGUGUGAAUGGCUCUCUUAAGGUCAUUCCACAGCAUCUCUAUUGGGUUAAGGUCUAGGCUCUGACUGGGCUACUACAUAAGGUGGAAUUUGUUUUGUUUUUAAGCCAUUCUGUAGUGUAUUUACAUCUAUGUUUAGGGUCAUUGUCCUGCUGCAUCACCCAACUUCUACUGAGCUCCAGCUGGUGAACAGCCACCUUGGCAUUAUCCUGUAGGAUAUCUUGAUAAACUUGGGAAUUCAUUUUUCCCUUGAUGAUGGCAAGCGUUCCAGGCCCCGAAGCAGCAAAGCAGCCCUAUAUCAGGAAGCUCCCUCCACCAUACUUCACCGUUGCGGUGUUUUCAUGUUGGUAUGCGGUGCCCUUUUUAUGCCAUACGUAGUGCUGUGUGUUAUUCAUAAACAAUUCAACCUUAGGUUCAUCAAUCCAAAAACAUUUUCCCAGUUGCACUGUGGUGUCAAGGUGGUCUUUGGCAAACUUUAGGCGUGCAGCAAUGUUUUUGUUGGAAAGCAGCGUCUUCCAACAUGGUCUCCUGCCAUGGAAACCAUGCCUGUUUAAUGAUUUCUGUAUGGUAGACUCAUGAACAGAGAUUUUAACCAGUUCCAAUGAUUCCUUCAAGUCUUUAUCUGUCACUCUAGGGUUCUUUUUACCUCAUUGAGCAUUCUGCGGUGUGCCCUUUAAGUUAUCUUGGCUGGACGGCCACUUCUAGGGAGAGUAGCCACAGUACUAAAUCAUCUCCAUUUAUAGACAGUUUGUCUAACUGUGGACAGAUAAAUAUCUAAGCUCUUCAAGAUAACUUUAAUUCUUUCCAGCUUUAUGCAAAGCAACAAAUCUUGAUUGUAGGUCUUCUGAGAUCUUUUUUUGCGAGGCAUUUUCCACAUCAGAAAACGCUUCUUGUGAAUAGCAAACUCAAAUGUUUGAAUACUUUUUAGUCAAAGUAGCUCUAACCCACACCUCCAAUCUCGUUUUAUUAAUUGGAUGUCAAUUUUGCCAGCUCCUGCCUCUAAUUAGCUUUUGUUGACAUCAUUAGCCUAGGGGUUCACAUACUUUUUCCCAACCUACACUGUGAAUGUUUGAAUGAUGUAUUCAAUAUGUACAAAAACAACACAAUAAUGUGAUAUAAGUUAAAACAGAUUGUGUUUGUUCAUAAUUGUAACUUAGUAGAACCUCAACCUGAUUUUAAGACAUUUUUACAUAAAUGUAGGUAAUUCCAAAGGGUUCACAUACUUUCUCUUGCCACAGUAGCUCUUGGUUUCAGUAAGCCAAGCUUAUUCUGCGUUAUAGAUGCAUGAAAUACUGCUAACUCAAACUGUCAGUCUGGUUUGUUCUCUUGACACAUCAUUUUAUCACUCACCUUAAUCAAAUGAAACACACUCUCUGAUUUACUUGUUUCUGCAUAUUUAUAAUUCAGCAGAUGCUCUUGUUAUCAGGUGUCAUCAAUGAUGUACAUCCAUUCUGGACUAUUUUGUAUAGAAAAUGCAAUUACCCUGCCUCAUUAUGAUUACUUAUUUAAGCCCAUGUAUUAGACAUAUGUUGCUUACAAGAGAUGCAUAAAACUAACUGAACUGCUGUUAAAAUUUGUUAUACAUUUGAACGAUAACAUAUGUAUAAAAUGUGUUACCCAUUAGCGUUGUAUGUAUUAAAUAAUUUAAAUAU